This is a long non-coding RNA of Photinus pyralis (common eastern firefly), 1349 nucleotides long. RefSeq lists it as uncharacterized. NCBI's taxonomy places the organism in Eukaryota, Metazoa, Arthropoda, Insecta, Coleoptera, Lampyridae. The record is from RefSeq and is a predicted model, not a curated record. The transcript has 2 exons.
AUUCGGGAGUCGGCGCAGUCAUUUUUGGGUUAGGCAAGCGCACGGUAUGGGAACAGAGAGGGUCGUUAAGAUGGCGAUGGUUGAAUAGUUGGUGUGUUUUUCGGAAAGUUGCUCUUGAUGGAAGUUCGGUAAUUGUUGAGACGUUCGAUUGGUUUUGGUUAAUUGGAGUUGGAGGAUCGUCUUAAGCCGCUUGCGGGAUUCGAGCCGAACUUAUUCCAUUUAUAUACGUGGGGUUAGACCACGCGGUGAUUGAAUCGGAGAUUAUAGCAACAAGUUGGGACCAUCCGCCGUUAUUUUGUCAAUCCGUCCUUUAAUAGGACAGUACCGACCUGGGGAGUAGUCUUUACGUUAUCGUCGUGGUCGCAUGUAGAUUUGGCCAUCGGUAUAUGUGUAGCUGUUUACAACGAGGGGGGAAGCCGUCUCUAAACUGGAGCAAGUGUAGCGAAGGAUUUGAAUUAUCGGAGGAAGCUGUCCGAGCGAAUCGCAGUCUAAGAUCGUAACCAUCAUCGAGACAGGGUUCGACCCAUUGUAACUACCCUUACUGGAGCGCAGAGGAAGUUGUUGGAGGGAGUCGGCAGAGCUAAGUGUCAUAUUUGUAAUUGUAUUUGUCGGAACGUUGUCGGUGACUUCUGUCGUACGGUGUUUUUUUUGUUUUUUUGGACGGCGAAGUUAGACCUUCACAGGAAAUAAUCGUUGGCAAGAAUCCUGCGGAUUCUCAUUUGGUUCUGUGAAUCGGGGUUGUGAUCCCCAUUGCUUAUCGAUUUAGUAGAAGUCAUUUCGUCUCCAAGAAUUGAGCUUUUGUGAAUUAUUAAUCAACACUGAAUUUAUUGAGUCUAGUCAUUUGGUCAAAUUGUAAUUGUAUUUUGGCUUUUGUAAAAUCAAUUGGCCGUUAAUAAGACCAAGAGUCACCGAGAAAUCAAGUAACGUGUUAUACAUUUGUGUCUGCUAAGUUAACGUCAAAUAUUUUUCUUGUUGGGGUGGGGAAGAUUUACCAGUAUUCUGGAAUUUUGACAUUUAUUAAUUGGGUAUAUUAAUUAUGGUUGUUGAAUAAUUUUGUUGCAUGAUUGAUUAUGAGGGCUGUGUAACUGCUGUGAUUUCGUGUUGGUUCACUGUAUAAUUAGUUGCAGCAAAUUAGGCUGGAAAAGGUACCGUCGGUUAUUGCGCAAUACCCCACGAGGUUUGGAUAUUUAAAUUGUGAAUAUAAGUUGUGUCCGGGUUUUAUUUAUUUCGUAUUUAGCACUAGAUUUUGGGUGCUGUUAUUAUAGUAGGGUGCCUACUAUUCGGGCGUUGAAAUCAUAGGGUUAUUGCCGUGCCUUUUGGCAUGUGAUUAUUCUGGCUGGGGUUCAUAU